Athene cunicularia (burrowing owl) is the source of this 81-nucleotide microRNA precursor. NCBI's taxonomy places the organism in Eukaryota, Metazoa, Chordata, Aves, Strigiformes, Strigidae. The record is from Ensembl.
GAGCUGUUGGAUUCGGGGCCGUAACACUGUCUGAGAGGUUUACAUUUCUCACAGUGAACCGGUCUCUUUUUCAGCUGCUUC